UUUAUUAGAUGAUUUCUCAGAAGUAGGAAUACUAGUUCCCAAAAAGAAUCAGGAGGUUCGACAGUGUUGAAGGUACUGAUGGAUACAGGCACACUGACAGCCAUGAAAGUGAGAACUGAGUGUUACAGAAACUCUGAAAAUACACAGAGUGAAAAUUCAGUAUUAUUGCCAAGACUGCACAACAAGAAAUCAUAAAGAAGUCCUUAAGACAGAAGGGAAAUGACACCAGAUGGAAAUACAGAUUUACACAAAGGAAGGAUGAGCACUGGAAAAGAAUGUAUUUUCCAGGAGAGAUGGCCUAUAUCUUUUUGUUAACUCCAGCUCCUGCCAAGUGUUUGACACAUAAAAGAUGUUCAGUGAAUGUUGGAUUGGUUCCUGGAAGUGGAACUACUGUAUCAAAGAUACAUUUGGAAGACUCCAGAAAGGUAGGUAAUACAGUAAUAGAUGAGUUUGCAAAUUUCAUUGCAUUCUUAGCAACACUAGCUAUUAGCAUUUAUUUUCAGUAUCUGUCAGUCUUUGGGGAGACUUUCUAUAAUUUAGUGCGACAAACUUGCAGUUUUGCUCAUACACUCAUAUUAAUAACUUUACUAUUUCAAGGACUUAAAGUUCUUUGUCUUCUCCAUGAUGCUUAACAGAGCCUUGCCCAGACAUUGAAGAAAUGCAUAUUUUAAUUGGCUUUGGCAACAUUUCUUUUAAAAUAAAUUAUAUUUUGAACACAUGGAAAGGUGAAGAAAAGUAACAUUAAAAAAGAUCCAAAUUAUUUUACUUAAUAAAAUAGAAGAUUGUACUCAAUUCUUAAUGUAGUAGUAGAGCAUUAUGGCUAUCAGCCAGCAAUGUUAUAUUUAUUGAAUUUAUUUACUGAAAUCAUACUGAUUUUAUUGAUUAUUGUGUCAUUAUCACUAUAGCACUUUCCAAAAUGUUUCAAAAUGCUUGGUUUAUAAGGUUAAGAAAAACGUUCACUAGAUAACUACUUUGAAAUAAUUUCUUCAGCGCUGCCUUCAUUCAAGAGGACUAGAAGCAUACUGGCCUGUUUCCAACUUUCUUUCAUGUUAUCUUUGCUAUGAAGUCAUUCUAUAGAUAGGGUAAUAAGCAUUUUGGCAUACAGAAAAAUAGCAUCUGUAAAACUAUAUGGCACAGUUUGGCUGGAGUUGUUCCUCCUUGAGAACUGCAUUACGUAAUUUAAAAGUGUUUUCUUAAGCUCCUUUGGGCUGCCUCCAUGGUAGCUAUGAAGUCACUGAGAACUAGGAACAGUUUGGGGCUUGAUAACAAAGUCUAUUAGUUUAAAGUGAACACUGUCAGUAUUUUAAAAAAUCAUUGCUUGAUAAGAAAUUUUAAAAACAAAGAUAUACUUAAUUCAUUUUAUUUUUUAAGGAAGCUUGCUACCUCAAAAAAUCAUCGAGAAAUACACACACAAAAAGGGUUCAUAAAUGUACAUUUGUUCAUUACUUAGAUGCUCUUAUUUUAAAACCUGUACUCUAUAGCAUGAAUUCACAGUGUGAUUUCAACUCAAUGUAACUAUAAAUAAUUAUGCAAAAUUACCAACAUGUAUAAAGCACAGCCUUUAGGAGAGUAUGAAUUAUUAAAAUGACUUCAGCACUAUUUCUGUCUCUAAAUCAUAAAGGAAGUUUUCUAAGGGAACAUCAAAGAUGUAUAAAUUAUAAUAAUAUCAGCUCUGGGAGAAUUUUAAAAGAUACUGGGUUAAAAGAAAAGAUUAAUCUCGACUACACAAAAAAAGGUAGUAUUUUCACUUCCCUAGAGAGAGAACUCUUGAGCCCCUUUACCAACCAAAUAACAAUGUGUACUAGUUUUAAAGAAAAAUAAUGCAUUGUGCAUUGUAAAAGUGGGAGAAGAGUCAUUCAGAAUUUGUAUGGUAAUCAAGUGUUAUAUCACCUCAAAGAAACAUGCAAAUUCUUAUAAAUUACCUAAAGUCUCAGCCGUCACUUUAGAAUUACUGAGUUUUAUGAAUAAACAAGCCCAAGUAAAGUCGAGACAAGAUCCUGACAUCUGAAAAGAUAUAGACCUUUUUUAGAAAUACCAUUUUAAUUAUGUAACAUGGAUUUAUUAUGAAAUUACUUAUUGGAACAAUAAUCUCCUUAGCAUUUUGCUUUUUAACUUUGAGAAGUCAUUUUGUGGCAUUGCCAAUGAUCUAGUGAGGUCCAAAAUCAGUGACAAUUCAAGGAGGGAAUGAAAAAAACUUUUAGGACCUGAUCAUCUGCUUGAAGGUACAGCCACUGUAGGUUUCCCAUCUAGCUUGGGAGAGAGAGGUGUCUGUGUAUGAGUGGCCUGACCUGGAGGGGAGGGAAUGGUCCUGAGGGAGAAGAAGGGAAGAUUAUGAGACCGCCCACCUAGACUGGCUCAUGAUUAGCUUUGCUGGAACAGUAAAAUGUGUGGGGUUUUAUAUUCCAUUCUAAUAUCAAAAAGAAGAUUUUUUUAGGUUUAAGUAUUUUUUCAUGUACAACAUACUGUUUAUAAUCUAUUUAUCUUAAGUUAACAUGUGUGGUGAUUUUAAACACAUUGCAAAUUCUGUGACACUCUUUCCAUUAAAAGACAGAAUCUAACUCCUCUGUCUAGAAUCUGUAUGGCACUAGUGAUAUGCCUCUAAAGAACAGAAUGUGAUGGAUAGGCUGUUCCAGACUUCUAAGAUUAGGUCCUACGUGAUAACAGCUUUACCUGGCUCUCAGGCUUGGGAGUCUUGGGACCCUUGGAACCCAGAGCUCUGUUGUAAGGAAGCCCAGGCUACAAGGAGAGGCAUGUGUUCUGGCUGAAAGCCCCAGCUAAAGUCCCAGCCACCCAUCAGUACAGAUUGUUAGGUAAGUGAACAGGUCUUCAGAUGAUGCAAGCCUCCAGCCAAUGAGCAGCCCUAGUUGACUCCCAGGGGACUAGAAACAAGCUGUCCCUGCAGAGCCCUACCCAGUGCGCAUUUUCAUGAACCAGUAACACUGUUAUUAUUUUAAACCACUAAGUUCUUCGGGUGGUUUGUUAUGUACAUCAGUCCUGGCUUCAAUUAAAUUUCUAGCUCUGGUUAGCUGUUAACUAGGAACCCUUUCCCUCCACUACUCCUUGUUUCCCUAGCUAGACUGAAAUCUUAGCACCUCCUAGUACUAAUUGUGGAUGAUUAAGUGCAGUUUUGAAGUGCCAUCGGGAACAAAAAACACCAUCAUGUGGACCCUUUCUAGCCAAAGUUCUUUUUCUCGAAGGCUUAGUGACUGAGCAGGGGGAAAAGAAAGCCUGAUUCUCUCCAUCUCUCCUUUUCUUCUUCCUUAGGCAUCCCUAGUUUUUAGAAAAGAGAGAAGAAAGCAAGAUUUAAUCCUCUCCUGCCCUCAUCCCCCUUCUGAAUUACAGUCUUUGGAAAGGUGCUUUCUUUUUCACUGAAAGAUUACAUAGUCUCAUAAAGAGACCAAACCAGCCACAGGUUUUCAUUUCUUUUCGAGGAAGCAAACAGAGUUAGUUCCUCCUCCUGAACUAGAGACUCACUUCUCCUCCCAGUCUACACCCCAGACCAGAAUAGGGGUGGAUCCCUCGCCUUGGUCCCUCCCCCGCCCCCCCACAGCCGGUCACUUUCCCAUUCCACUGACUCUUUUAAAUUACCUUUCUUGAAUCCAUUUUCUUCUAUCCCCACUGCUACUAGGUACACAGAAGUGGUCCUAAUCAAUUCUUAGAUAACAGGCUAUUUUACAUUCCAUCUUACAGCCUCCAGGACCCCAACUGGUAUAAUAUUUUCAAAGACCUAUAAUCUUUUCAUACCUGACCAUGCAUUCCCUUAAAAAAAAAAAACAAAACAACUUUCAUAGGUUUCCCUUUCCCAUAGGUUUUAAUCCUGAGGACCAAAAGUCUCUUUCUCAGAGUAAAUGCUUGAAAUGGUAUGCAAAAUUGUAGUAGAGGUCUGUAGGUGCAUUUUUUUUUUUUUCUGGAAAAAAGACUAGAUUGCUUUCCCUAGGUUCUCAAACGGAUAUGUGUCCCCCUAAAGGCUAAAACCGUGUAGGUCUCAGGCUAAAAUGUAAGCUCCCCAGCAUGGACUUCGAAGCCCUAUGUGGACUGGCCAUCAGUCCAGCCUCCUUUCUCUCCCUUCUCUUCAUCCUCCUCACAUCCCACUUAAAUUUACCUCACAGCAGUUCUUCACUACAGGUUGCUUUGCUUGCUCAGCCCUUUCCUUUUUUCUUAGCUGACCUAACUUUUGCCCAUCUAGGAAUCUGCCUUCUUUACGAAGCACCUCAGGUCAUGGCACCUACAGAAAGCUAUUCAGGAUAAGCAAACUGGAUGUGAACUCUUGCCUCCCUGAAGCCAGUCUAGCAUUUGCUUUUUCUCUUAGCAUCUACCCCCUGGAUUUCCAAACUAGGGUGGGAGUGGGGCGGGGGGCGGGUAGGAAAAAAGAAAAUAAAUCGUAAAGUAAAACCUGUUAAGCAGUGACUGAUAAUUGUUUGUACAGCACUUAUACACAGAAGAACCCCAGGCUGUGGUACACAUUUUUAUAGUACUUUCUUGGGAGGUAAACAUGUUAUUUAUAAUCGCCAGCAGAAUUUUGAUGAUAAAGACAACACACACCUUCCUGCUACAGAAUAUCCUAUACGAAUUUUCAACAUCAUCCAGUUUUCCUUUAUGCCCAGCCACCACAUGGUGUUAUGUAUUUAACAACUCCGGCAAUUAAUAAACAACAUAGUU
Molecule: long non-coding RNA, 4659 nt
Filed under: Sus scrofa (pig)
Lineage: Eukaryota; Metazoa; Chordata; Mammalia; Artiodactyla; Suidae
Description: lncRNA (ENSSSCG00025037270.1)
Source: RNAcentral